RNAcentral lists this ribosomal RNA (546 nucleotides) under Triticum aestivum (bread wheat). Its description in RNAcentral is "partial small subunit ribosomal RNA". The record is from RNAcentral. Lineage: Eukaryota; Viridiplantae; Streptophyta; Magnoliopsida; Poales; Poaceae.
AUGAGUUGGAAUGUGAGGGGGCUGAAUACGCCGGUGAGACGCUCUGUCGUCCGUGACAGCGCACAUGCACACAAACUUGCUAUAUUAUGCCUACAAGAGACUAAGAUAGAUUGCUGGUCCACCUGUUUAGCUAGAGAAGUAGGUGGCACUUGGCUUGAUCGGUGCAUUGUUCUUCCAGCCAUUGGAACACGAGGAGGGGCGGCCAUUUUCUGGAACUCCAGCACGGUAUCCGUGCAGUCUCACUCGAUAGGGCGUUACUCCAUCACGAAAAAAGUUUAGAUAGGCGGGACAAACAAAGAGUACUGGCUCACCAAAGUCUACAAGCCUUCGGAUGAUGAUCGGAAAGAUGAUGUCCUCGCAGAAAUAGCUAGGGUAGCCCCACCAACAGGCCAAGCGUGUCUCAUCAACGGAGACUUCAACAUUAUAUAUGAGGCAAGAGACAAGAGUAACAACAACAUCAACCAUAGGAUGAUGGGGAAAUUUAGAGCAGCGGUCGACGAGGGCGGCCUACGUGAAAUCAAGUGCAAAAACCGUCGCUUCACCUAG